GGCCAAUGAGCAGCGAGAAGGAAGUGACGUCACACUCCCAACAUGGUGAGGAAGGAGGGAAGUGUCGGCAGUUGCUCCUGAGUUUUCCCUUCUGGUGACGAAUUGGCAAAGUAUUCUGGACUGAGAGAAAUCCCUGGACUGCGAUCUCACUGUGACCCGAGAGGAGGUGGCCACUCAUCGCUGAAGUUACACUGGCUCCCUUCCUUAUGCAGAGAAGCCAAGUCAAGAGACCCUGAAUGGUGGUAAGGAGACACUCUGCUGCCGGGAACACUGCAUCGCCAAGUCAAGCCAGGCCAAGGUCGCAAGAUUAAUGGCCACAGUCUUCACUCUUUUAAUCCCCCACCAAAUAGUCACCACAAGGGAUAUGGAAAUGUGUCACCCUACUGAAGGGGUUAAUGGUGUUUUCACGAAGCUUUGUAAAAACUGGUUAUUUUUGUCAUGAAAGCUGUGUGUGUGUGUGUGUGUGUGUGUGUGUGUGUGUAUUGUUUUCAUAUAUAUUAUUA
Molecule: long non-coding RNA, 503 nt
Organism: Portunus trituberculatus (swimming crab)
Lineage: Eukaryota; Metazoa; Arthropoda; Malacostraca; Decapoda; Portunidae
Exons: 3
Source: RefSeq, a predicted model, not a curated record